This 468-nucleotide ribosomal RNA is filed under the name uncultured bacterium. RNAcentral's name for it is "partial 16S ribosomal RNA". It matches the Rfam family "Bacterial small subunit ribosomal RNA", at positions 28 to 507 of the family's 1533-position model. The record is from RNAcentral.
GACGAACGCUGGCGGCGUGCUUAACACAUGCAAGUCGAACGGAAAGGCCCUGCUCUUGUGGGGUGCUCGAGUGGCGAACGGGUGAGUAACACGUGAGUAACCUGCCCUUGACUUUGGGAUAACUUCAGGAAACUGGGGCUAAUACCGGAUAGGAGCUCCUGCUGCAUGGUGGGGGUUGGAAAGUUUCGGCGGUUGGGGAUGGACUAGCGGCUUAUCAGCUUGUUGGUGGGGUAGUGGCUUACCAAGGCUUUGACGGGUAGCCGGCCUGAGAGGGUGACCGGCCACAUUGGGACUGAGAUACGGCCCAGACUCCUACGGGAGGCAGCAGUGGGGAAUAUUGCACAAUGGGCGGAAGCCUGAUGCAGCAACGCCGCGUGCGGGAUGACGGCCUUCGGGUUGUAAACCUCUUUCGCCUGUGACGAAGCGUGAGUGACGGUAAUGGGUAAAGAAGCACCGGCUAACUACGUG